GCCCAGGGCAGGAAGAGGGUGACCUAGAAUUCUGCACCGGGCGUGGAAACAACUUGAAAAGGAUCGCCUAUCCUGGGACCUUUGGACUUCCAUAUGAAUUUGAAGGUCAGCUUAUCAAGAUUUGGAAAGACAGCUCAGAAAUGAUGUCAUACAACAACCCUGUGCCACAAAAAGGAAGGCGCGAAGCUGUGCGUGUCAUGGUGUACUUGUGAAAGUCCGAGGACUUGGAUCUGUCUUCUUUUACCAUGUGGGUCCUUCUUCUUCCAUGUAGAGAUCAAAGUCAGGUCAUCAAGCUUAGAAGCUCCCAGCCACAUCCUAACUCUGCCUAGCUGGACUCUGUAAUGAGCUCUCUACACGAUGCCUUAGAGAACGGGGCCCAGGGAACAAGUAAGGUUGCCAAGUUCACUU
RNAcentral lists this long non-coding RNA (408 nucleotides) under Mus spicilegus (steppe mouse). Its description in RNAcentral is "lncRNA (ENSMSIG00000003658.1)". Lineage: Eukaryota; Metazoa; Chordata; Mammalia; Rodentia; Muridae. The record is from RNAcentral.